UUCAAACAACACAUACGGUCA
This 21-nucleotide non-coding RNA is filed under the name Caenorhabditis elegans. Lineage: Eukaryota; Metazoa; Nematoda; Chromadorea; Rhabditida; Rhabditidae. The record is from RNAcentral.